Molecule: RNA transcript, 4688 nt
Organism: Panicum hallii
Lineage: Eukaryota; Viridiplantae; Streptophyta; Magnoliopsida; Poales; Poaceae
Exons: 2
Source: RefSeq, a predicted model, not a curated record
CCUCACUUUUCUUUUCUUUUCUUUUUCUCGAGAACACGCAGGACAACUGCGUGCCUGGUGCUAUUGAGAUUAGAAAAUCGAAGAAAAAUCUCUAUCUCUAUCUCUACAAUAAAAGAAAUUUAAAUUCAAAUUCAAAUUCAACAGAGGUCAAGAGACAAAGGGAUAGAGCCCGAUCAGCUGCCAUGACCGAUGAGCGACGGAAAGAGAAGAAUAAGAAGCGCCGGGCUGCUUACAUGAGGACGAAAGCAGUGUCCUCAAACAGAGAAAAUAUUCCUGCACAGGACACAGGUAGAAAUUUUUUUUACUGGAUUCCAUCGUCGUUAGACACACAAGUCCUCUGCCCUAACCCUCCGAUAUAGGCACCAAUGAGGCAGAUCGCACUAAUAAAAAACAAGGCAGUAACACAUGUCCAGGGUAAUCCGGUGAUAGAAAAAUGUAAUGACUCAUGCCUUGAUUACCAUGCACAUCACUGGACUUCGUGUUACAGUAACGGUGUUGCCUGUUUUCUUUAUCUUCCGUCCAUGUCUCCAUCAGUUCCUUUUCUCUCUACAAUGCCUGAUUUUUCUCUCUACAAUGCCUAAAUAUGCACAUGCCUAAUGGCCAAUACCGUUUGGAUACCAUAAAAGUAGCCGCCUGAUUUACUAGCAUUUGGAGGCUAAACCAGAAAUAAUUCGAUGAAUGAAUUUAUAUAGGCCAUUUUGUUGCAUUCGUGGUGAUCUUGAUGUGAUGUUUAUGUGAAGUAAUCAUAUCCACAUGUGUCGGCUGCUUCUGUCCUGGGCGAUUCGAGCGCACCAGGCCGCCAAGGGGAAAAGAUCUCUUCUUUUCCUUUGUUUCCCCCACUUGAUUCUUGCCUGUCGGUGUUGAAGACUUCGCCCGUGUGUAGAUGUUCUUUUUGAUGAGUUCGGUGAAGAUGCAGUAUUGCUUUUUCCCGUGCCCAUCAAGUAUCAGAUUUCUUCUGUAAAUGUUUCCAUAUAGAUUAUUGGUCAAUACUAUCAUGCGUCUAUGGAGAGUAGUAAAACGAGGCGGGCAAUGCUAGCAGCAUGGAGAGAUUUAGGGAUUUGGUGGACAGUGGCACAUUGGAGGCUUCUCCGGACUCGGCGUGGAAAGGGAUAUCAUCGAGGCCGUCACAUUGGAGGGCUUCGCCUGGGCGCAAUGUGGAGAAGCAGAGGGGCAGCGGCGCUGUCUUGCCAUUGGACGCCGCCGCUGGAGUCACAGGUAGGCCAUCCACUGCCUCCUUUAGGAGGAGCUUGACACCAUCCCCAAGGUCAAGUCAUGCACUUCUCUUGUUUGUUCGAGAUGGGAAACACCAGGGUAAUUGAUGCUGCCUAUGGUCCUCGAGAGGUGGAUUCCCCUACUCUGAUUGGUGUGGUUUUGUAUACAUGUGUGAUACGUCAUGGGCAACAACCUAUUUGAGGAAAUCCUUCUGAGAGAGGAUUUAUCAUUUGCGGUGGGAUGUGUUGUCUAUACCUGACUUCUCUGAAUUGACCUUAUUUAGAUUUAAUCUUCAAGAGCCCUUUUAAAUAAAUUGGGCAUUAUAUGGGAAAACAGGUUUGCUUUUCCUAUAUGCAUGAAACAUAUUUGAAAAUCAUUAGGAUCGAUAAUGGCCUAUGGGCAGUAGGACAAUAUUUGUCCACAGCGAGAUAUACUGGAUAACUUAGAAUUAUGGGAAUUAUAAACUUGAAUUGCUUGCAUUUUGUUGCUCUGGAGAAUCAUAUUGCUUCACCCUUUCCAUUGUUGUCGUACCUCCCUAAUUUUCUUUUUUCUGCUGCCAGGAAGAGCUGUGCACUUUUCAGUGAAAUCGAAUGUUGUCUAAAAGUUCAUGUUGUUUGUUUGCUCAUCCAGGUCCAGAGCAAAGGCCAGCAAGGAAACAACAAAGAGGCUUUCACUGUUCCAAAUGCAUUGCAUAGGUGUGGUCAGAGACUUUCUCGGUGAGAUAUUUUUAACUUGUUGGCCUAGAUUUCCAUCCAGAAUGUUGAGCUUUGACCAUUUCGUGCCUACCAAUAAUCUUAGAUGGUGUGCUUGAGCCUGAUUUAGUAGCAUUUUUUUUGCUGUUUCCUUCAAUGAAAUUGAAUGACGUUUCCGUUGGGAGGAGAAUUUGUCAUCGACUCAUUCAGAUUUAGCUCGCAAUAUAUUAGAUCUCUCGGAUCAUAUCCUUCACAGUGUGCUCCCUACAUAUAUGCAAAGUUCUAGCUAAUGAAAGAGAAUUAGUAUGAUGAAUACAUUUAUUUUGAUUUCUAAAAUAAUAUGAGAAGUUAAAUAGGUCGACAAUUGCUCACUGUUAAAUCUACAUGUUAGCAUCAGAGAAUUUGUACAGGUUAGUGUCUGCGAUUUGAGCAGUUUCACAGGAUGCAAUCAUAUUAUAUCCGCCUUCUAAUUCUGAUGUUGAUUCAAUGAUGCCCUAUUUUUCUCAUUAUGUGGAGCAGGGUAUAUUAAUAUUACAGCAUACCAACAAGCUAAAGCUAAUUUCCUGAUAUUGUGACUGAGUAGAGAUAUCUGGGAAAUUAGUACUCAAUAGUCAAUACUCUUUUUAACAUCAAGAGCGAUUGGCGGUGAUAUUUGAGAAAUUUUAAAUUUUCUAGUUUUAAUUGAUGAUAAUCUAUCAUUUGUUAAAUUCUCAAUCUUCAUUAAUAUCCUUGCUAGUUACUCCCUCCGUCCCAUGAAAAGUGCAAUCCCACGUUUGAAAAAAAAUCUCACAAAGAGUGCAAUUCUAGAGAUUGGAUCUUAACUACCUACCUAAUUAAAUGGUCAGAUUUGAUUUGCAUGCUAAAACUAACCGCAUAUGGCAAACAAAUAAGGGUAUGUGUGUCUUUUCACGCCACCACUAAUAUGUCUGAAAAAACUAGAAUUGCACUCUUUUUAGGACGGAGGGAGUAUACAAUAGUUAGUUGUGGAUUUGUAUGUUUAGUCUAAUCAUGGGUGACAACAUGUGCUUGCGCUGAUAUAAUAAUCUUCUACAAUUUUGCAUCCAUCUUAUUUGUUGGUUUGUGUUUUUAUAUCCUCUGAUUGAUAUGUUGGUGGCAGAGAACCAGAACAUUCAGACACCCUUCAGCCAACAGGGGAUCCAUGGGGUUUAUACAUGUUUUUAUGCCAUGUUUUUCCUUCUCCACUGAGCACCACCGUCAUUGUUGAGCUGUGAGCCACCAGCAACAUCUAAUUGUAUAUGUUUGCGUGCAUAUUCUCAAAAGAUCGAUAGAAAUGCAAACUCUGACAUCCAGAAAAUGUUGACUUAGCAUAUGCUUGUUAAUUAUUAUAUAUUUGGUGACAUGCCUAAAUAGCUCAGUCGACAAUGCAAACUCUAAACAACUCCCCUUAUACAAACAUAAGAACUACAUCCUAGGAGCUUAUUAACCAUCUAACUGAAACACUCUACCUUUCCUGAUCGAAAACAUUACAGAGUAUUAGUGUUUAUUACUUCAUAGCUUUUCAUCAUUUGGUUUUCUUUGAUGAGCAAUAUAUGUUUUCUCCCUUUCUAAUGCCUUUACCUGGAGCUUCAUGUGAGCAUUCUCUGAAUUCUGAAACUUAUUGUGUAAUAUCAAUAUGCCUUUGAUUUGUUGUUGAGCAUAAGUAAAAAAAUUAUUCUUAUAUUUAUAGGCAAGUUGUGUUGGGUAGAUCAUGCUCCUAAGAGAUAGCUUAUCAUCAGUGUUUCCCUCGGCACAUUUAGCUGUGCGUAACCUUCUUGCUAAAAUGUUGACUGGUGAUCCAUCAUAGUGCAGGGAUUGCUAAAAAUGGCGAUUUCUGGUUGUUGAAUUUCUAAAAACUUAAAACUAUAUUUGAAGGCAGUGGGUGAGCAUUCUGAUGGUAAUGUAUUUUAUUCGUUGCCUUUAAUUGUUCUAUGACUUGUUCUGACAAGAACUGCUUGCUGCAGGUAAGAAUUCCAAAUACAGUAUGGUUCAAUAUAUUGGUGAUGGAAGCUUCCAGGUAAUUUCAUUGCCUGAUUAAAUAUAUUUUGCUCUUUCUACAAUUUGAUGGAUGAUGGCUUGAUUGUGAUGUGAUCCUGGUAAUUGAUGCAUGAUGGCUUGAUUCUAAUGUGACACCUGAUUAGAUUCUAAUAAUGGGUGAAAACUGUAUAAUGUUUAUACAAAUCUAAUGAUUUGUGGUAUGAUGCUUUCCAUGUCUUUCAGGUUUUUAGUACAGUACCCCAGGAAGACUGGAGGAGCUAUAUAUUGUUUCUUAUCAUGCUGAAUGACUAAGAAGUUGAGAAAUAUCAUUCUUUAGGGUAAUUUUUUGGACAUUAUUAAUCUAUUGUUGACCAUGGGUUCUUUUUUCAGCAAGCAAAUAACAGAGGAUCAAAUUUUGUGGGGGCUAAAUAUGUUAAGAAAUAAAUUUAAUUAGGAUUCUUUUUAGGGUUUUCUUGAGUAGAUAAAAUUAAGGAAUUGCAGUUUUAUAUAGAAACAUGGAUCAAGUGACUAAUACAUAUGGUGGGUCCAAAAAAGCAGAUAUGCACUUAGGUGCUUCUUUGAUGUUUGAGCUUCAAGCAACAUCUUUUGGAUUUAAUAAUAUGCUUUCUCUUCAAUUUUAGUAGCUUCUGCGUUUUAUUAUAUGUGGUCAUGCUUUAUUGUAUUGCCAUGCUCUAAUUUCACCUCCAGCAAUACACAUGCACAGACCUAUCUAAUAUAAAAUAUGGUUCGUUGCCAAUGUAUAUACUCUGACAGCAUACCAUUGUUUAAUUAUCUCAAUAUGAUGGGCCG